GUCGGACUGCUGGAGAAGGCGCUGAGAGAUAGCGACUAUAUCCACGGGUAGCAGCAGGCGCGAAACUUUCCCACUCGAGACUUUCGGAGGAGGUAAUGACCAGUUCCAUUGGUGCCUUUUGGUACUGUGGAUAGAGGGUACGGUUUUCCACCGUACCGAAACCUAGCAGAGGGCCAGUCUGGUGCCAGCAGCUGCGGUAAUUCCAGCUCUGCGAGUUUGCUCCCAUAUUGUUGCAGUUAAAACGCCCGUAGUCUGAAUUGGCCAGCAAUGGUCGUACGUAUUUUUACGUUCACUGUGAACAAAUCAGGACGCUUAGAGUAUGGCCACAUGAAUGACUCAGCGCAGUAUGAAGUCUUUGUUUUCUUCCGAAAACAAGCUCAAUGAGAGCCAUCGGGGGUAGAUCUAUCUCAUGACGAGUGGUGGAAUACUUUGACUCAUGAGAGAGAAGCUGAGGCGAAGGCGUCUACCUAGAGGGUUUCUGUCGAUCAAGGGCGAGAGUAGGAGUAUCCAACAGGAUUAGAGACCCUGGUAGUUCCUACCUUAAACGAUGCCGACAGGAGUUUGUCAUUUGUUAAUGGCAGAAUCUUUGGAGAAAUCAUAGUUCUUGGGCUCUGGGGGAACUACGACCGCAAGGCUGAAACUUGAAGGAAUUGACGGAAGGGCACACCAGGGGUGGAGCCUGUGGCUUAAUUUGAAUCAACACGGGGAAACUUACCAGGACCAGAUGUUUUUUAUGACUGACAGGCUUCGGGUCUUUCAGGAUAUUGUUUUUGGUGGUGCAUGGCCGUUGGUGGUGCGUGGGUUGACCUGUCUAGCGUUGAUUCAGCUAACGAGCGAGAUUAUCGCCAAUUAUUUACUUUGCCGAAGUCCUUCGGUUAAAGUUCUAAUUGGGACUCCCUGCGAUUUUAGCAGGUGGAAGAGGGUAGCAAUAACAGGUCCGUGAUGCCCUUUAGAUGCUCUGGGCUGCACGCGUGCUACAAUGUUAGGAUCAAUAGGACUGCGAGCCUGAGAGGGUGCGCUACUUCUUAUAAUCCCUAACGUAGUUGGGAUUGACGUUUGUAAUCAGCGU
This 1069-nucleotide non-coding RNA is filed under the name Trichomonas vaginalis G3. Its description in RNAcentral is "Eukaryotic small subunit ribosomal RNA". It matches the Rfam family "Eukaryotic small subunit ribosomal RNA", at positions 375 to 1597 of the family's 1831-position model. The record is from Rfam by way of RNAcentral. Lineage: Eukaryota; Parabasalia; Trichomonadida; Trichomonadidae.